AUUGAACGCUGGCGGCAGGCCUAACACAUGCAAGUCGAACGGUAACAGGAAUCAGCUUGCUGAUUCGCUGACGAGUGGCGGACGGGUGAGUAAUGUCUGGGAAACUGCCUGAUGGAGGGGGAUAACUACUGGAAACGGUAGCUAAUACCGCAUAACGUCGCAAGACCAAAGAGGGGGACCUUCGGGCCUCUUGCCAUCGGAUGUGCCCAGAUGGGAUUAACUAGUAGGUGGGGUAAUGGCUCACCUAGGCGACGAUCCCUAGCUGGUCUGAGAGGAGGACCAGCCACACUGGAACUGAGACACGGUCCAGACUCCUACGGGAGGCAGCAGUGGGGAAUAUUGCACAAUGGGCGCAAGCCUGAUGCAGCCAUGCCGCGUGUAUGAAGAAGGCCUUCGGGUUGUAAAGUACUUUCAGCGAGGAGGAAGGUGUUGAGGUUAAUAACCUUAGCAAUUGACGUUACUCGCAGAAGAAGCACCGGCUAACUCCGUGCCAGCCGCCGCCGUAA
RNAcentral lists this ribosomal RNA (506 nucleotides) under uncultured bacterium. Its description in RNAcentral is "partial 16S ribosomal RNA". It matches the Rfam family "Bacterial small subunit ribosomal RNA", at positions 30 to 523 of the family's 1533-position model. The record is from RNAcentral.